ACGAAGCUGGCGGCAGGCUUAACACAUGCAAGUCGAGCGCCCCGCAAGGGGAGCGGCAGACGGGAGAGUAACACGUGGGAACGUACCCUUCAGUUCGGAACAACCCAGGGAAACUUGGGCUAAUACCGGAUACGUCCGUAAGGAGAAAGAUUUAUCGCUGAAGGAGCGGCCCGCGUCUGAUUAGCUAGUUGGUGAGGUAAUGGCUCACCAAGGCGACGAUCAGUAGCUGGUCUGAGAGGAUGAUCAGCCUCACUGGGACUGAGACACGGCCCAGACUCCUACGGGAGGCAGCAGUGGGGAAUAUUGGACAAUGGGCGCAAGCCUGAUCCAGCCAUGCCGCGUGGGUGAUGAAGGCCCUAGGGUUGUAAAGCCCUUUCGGCGGGGAAGAUAAUGACGGUACCCGCAGAANAAGCCCCGGCUAACUUCGUGCCAGCAGCCGCGGUAAUACGAAGGGGGCUAGCGUUGCUCGGAAUCACUGGGCGUUAAGCGCACGUA
Molecule: ribosomal RNA, 495 nt
Filed under: uncultured bacterium
Lineage: Bacteria
Description: bacterial SSU rRNA
Rfam family: Bacterial small subunit ribosomal RNA
Source: RNAcentral